Molecule: transfer RNA, 84 nt
Filed under: Calditrichia bacterium
Lineage: Bacteria; Pseudomonadati; Calditrichota; Calditrichia
Also listed under: 1 other name
Description: tRNA-Leu
Rfam family: tRNA
About the family: Transfer RNA (tRNA) molecules are approximately 80 nucleotides in length. Their secondary structure includes four short double-helical elements and three loops (D, anti-codon, and T loops). Further hydrogen bonds mediate the characteristic L-shaped molecular structure. tRNAs have two regions of fundamental functional importance: the anti-codon, which is responsible for specific mRNA codon recognition, and the 3' end, to which the tRNAs corresponding amino acid is attached (by aminoacyl-tRNA synthetases). tRNAs cope with the degeneracy of the genetic code in two manners: having more than one tRNA (with a specific anti-codon) for a particular amino acid; and 'wobble' base-pairing, i.e. permitting non-standard base-pairing at the 3rd anti-codon position.
Source: RNAcentral
GCCGAGGUGGCGGAAUUGGCAGACGCGCUAGGUUCAGGGUCUAGUGCUCGCAAGGGCGUGCAGGUUCGACUCCUGUCCUCGGCA